Molecule: non-coding RNA, 1465 nt
Organism: Paramuricea clavata
Lineage: Eukaryota; Metazoa; Cnidaria; Anthozoa; Malacalcyonacea; Plexauridae
Source: the annotation of a GenBank genome assembly
UGCAAGUAUUUCCGGUGAUGUCAUUGAUGAUAUGACGUCAUACAUACAUUCGCUUGAAUACUAAUUACUUCCGUUAUUGUAUGGGGGGGGUUACCUACUCCUAAGCGAAUUACUAAGGGAUCCAGAGAAGGCGCGAUCGGAGUUGGGCCUUUUAUUUGGGGCAUUUUCGCUAAUUCGUGUUCGCCUUGGAUCUGAUAAAAGCAUUGCUGUUUUGGGCCUUACCUACAAUAAAGUUAUGGUCCACAAACCGCAACAUGGGAUGCUGCUUAUGGUGUGCAACAAGGCUGAUGCCUUAAGAGAGUUUGAAAACUGUUUAGUUAAGGUAAGCAGAAAUUUCGGUUUAGUUAAAGGGGAAGUCAAGUCCGUAAUGUAAACAAACGGUUUGUUUACAUUUUGAACUGCUGUAUUUUUUAAAAUAUGAUGUACUGUCUGAAUAUCUAACACCAUUUUGGUUCGUUAUGCUUCUACAUGAAUAUGAAAUAGUGUUUGUGUUCAGAAAAAUUCGAAACAUUCAAAAUUUGGGCAAUGUUUACCUCAGAGGGCCCUCUAUUGUUAUGCGCAGAACCGAUGCGCAGAACGGACUUGACUUCCCCUUUAAUUAAAAUUCGUAUUUUACAUAUCUUUUUUUUUGUUUUUAGUUUGGUACUUACUAUCCAGCUCUGGUUAUGCACGAACCGAACCAUGUGGAUCUAAGGAAGGCUUAUGAGGCAGCCGGGAUUCUCAACAAAGAUGAUUUAUCUUUGGCUCUAAGCAACAAACAGUACUACCCGGAAGUAAAUCAAAUGAAUGACUUUAUGGGCAAACGCAUAGAAAAACCCUUGGCGGGGAUGAUCAACGGCGCCGUUAAAUGGACAUCUGGGAAAGCUGGAUCAGCACAGGUUUUAACCGCUUUUAGUAAGUAAAAAAGUGUGUCUUAAGGGACGGACUAUUAUUUUUUUAGGAUGGACAUUUUGUCAAGGCAAACAAUUUUGUUUCGUGUUGUUGUCGUUGCAAACAAUUUUUUUGCCCCUGCUUUUUGAUUUUUGUCAAUCUGAUUGCUGUGGAUUUCCUGAUUAUAAAUUGAUUUAAAAAACUCAUUAAUAAUUCAGGAGCAAAACGCAAAGAAAAAUCAUAAGCGUGUCGUGGUUUUAUAUGUGAUAAAAAAUCAUGUUAAUUUACAUAAACUUUAGCUUUGAUUUCUCGGUUUAGACAAAGUUUAUUUUAAAAAUUACUUCGCCAAUGAACUCGUAUAAGACGAGUCGUUUUUUAAGCCAUUUAAAGCACUUGCACUCCGCUACGCGUCGUGUUUUAUUUGUGAUAAAACACUCCUACGCGUGCUUUAAAUAGUACAUAUAAAGUUUAAUUUCUGCCCGAUUACACUAUCGCAUGUGUGAACAAGAUGUGGUGUUGUCAGAAGUAUAAAUUUAAUAUGUAAACAGACAUUUAAUACUUUUUUUUGUAUAUUGGCAGGGACGCCGGAACUGGG